This is a non-coding RNA of Callorhinus ursinus (northern fur seal), 1074 nucleotides long. NCBI's taxonomy places the organism in Eukaryota, Metazoa, Chordata, Mammalia, Carnivora, Otariidae. The record is from RefSeq and is a predicted model, not a curated record.
GCGUACGCGGGCAAACUGGGGCCAGUUUAGGGCCAGGUGAACGCGGAAGUACAGGACGUGAGGGUGUGCUGGCUGCUCCGACCGUGGUGGGGCGACUGGUGCGAGAUGGAAGAGGGCGCAGCUGCGGCUGAUGGUCGGGACGGUCCCCGGGAGCGGCUAGGCUUGGGUGAAGCUGGGAGGCAGCAGCAGAACCACGAAGUGCGGUCUCAAUCCCAGGCCGACCGGUUUCCAAAGCAUUCCUACUGGUUGGAUCUCUGGCUCUUCAUCCUCUUGGAUGUAGUGUUGUUUAUCUUCGUGUAUCUUUUACCAUGAAUGGUUUGCCUGAUGUCUAGAUUAAGAAGUUGGCUCCUGGAGUGGAUUCUGAAAAUGACUACAAACUUCUUGAACAUAGAAGACAGGAUUGUGCAACAGAAUUUUAAACUCUGAGGGACUUUCUUUCAUUUUACAUACUCUUGUUAUUCCUUUUGGGGACUAUAUUAAAUGGGUAAUCUCACCCAUUCAUAGCUUAAGUUCUUAAAACUACUCUUUGAUUCAUGUUUAAAAACUUUUCAGACAUCUGAUAGCUUUAUAGGGGCUGCAUAUUAAAGCAUUUAUACGUAAAGGUUUAAUGUAUUCAUUAACAAAUAUGGUAAUGUCUUGCCUUUAACAUUUUAAGGAUUAGCCAGGGUUUAGUAUGAUGCAAAAAUGUGGUGAAAUAUUAAGGUGACGUAUUUAAAAAUAAAUUACUCAAAAGCAAUGGAAGAAAAAGGAGUUAAGGGCUGUACAGAAAGUGCAGGCCCAAAAUGUAUUGGCUGUUAAGUACCAAUUUAAUUUUUAGAUUAAGUGGGCCUCUGUUAUGGUUGCCAGAUUGAUACAAUCUCAGAGAAAGUAUAAAUAUCCAACAUUGGAAAUCUAGUGUGCAUGUCCUCUUACCUGGAUGCUUCCCCUUGCUUCAUUUUAAGUUCCCGAACUUCCCUAAAAUAGGACUGUGUUUGAAACCUAUUUUUUAUUAUUGUGAUUGUAUUAAGAAUGCUUGUAGCUAAAAUAUGUUUUUGUUUUUAUAAUGUCUUUACCUUAAAUACUUCAGCAAAGUCA